ACGAACGCUGGCGGCGUGCCUAACACAUGCAAGUCAACUUGACUGAAGGAGCAAUCUGACAGUAGAGUGGCGCAAGGGUGCGUAACGCGUAAGUAACUUGCCCCAAGGUAAGGAAUAACGUCGAGAAAUCGGCGCUAAUACCUCAUAAUGCAGCGGAUCCGCAUGGAUAUGUUGUUAGAGGUUUACCGCCUUGGGAUAGGCUUGCGUCUGAUUAGCUAGUUGGUGUGGUAACGGCACACCAAGGCUACGAUCAGUAACUGGUCUGAGAGGAUGAUCAGUCACACUGGAACUGAGACACGGUCCAGACUCCUACGGGAGGCAGCAGUGAGGAAUAUUGGGCAAUGCUCGAAAGAGUGACCCAGCAACGCCGCGUGGAGGAUGAAGGUAUUCUAUAUCGUAAACUCCUGUGAGAGCAGACGAAAGACAGAUUAUUAAUCUGGAUGACUGUAUGCUCAGAGGAAGCCCCGGCUAACUACGUG
Molecule: ribosomal RNA, 479 nt
Filed under: uncultured bacterium
Lineage: Bacteria
Description: bacterial SSU rRNA
Rfam family: Bacterial small subunit ribosomal RNA
Source: RNAcentral